Molecule: ribosomal RNA, 253 nt
Filed under: uncultured bacterium
Lineage: Bacteria
Description: partial 16S ribosomal RNA
Rfam family: Archaeal small subunit ribosomal RNA
Source: RNAcentral
UACCAGCACCCCGAGUGGUCGGGACGUUUAUUGGGCCUAAAGCAUCCGUAGCCGGUUCUACAAGUCUUCCGUUAAAUCCACCUGCUUAACAGAUGGGCUGCGGAAGAUACUAUAGAGCUAGGAGGCGGGAGAGGCAAGCGGUACUCGAUGGGUAGGGGUAAAAUCCGUUGAUCCAUUGAAGACCACCAGUGGCGAAGGCGGCUUGCCAGAACGCGCCCGACGGUGAGGGAUGAAAGCUGGGGGAGCAAACCGG